RNAcentral lists this long non-coding RNA (333 nucleotides) under Malus domestica (apple). RNAcentral describes it as "long non-coding RNA (MDOM_LNC018486)". Lineage: Eukaryota; Viridiplantae; Streptophyta; Magnoliopsida; Rosales; Rosaceae. The record is from RNAcentral.
GGCUGUAAAAAGGAAGUCUAUUUAAGGUUUUCAAAAAUUCAAACCCUAACUUAUUUAGGUUAACAGAAAUUAAGUCAAAAGCUUCUAGAAAAAGGAAACAAAAUCAGAAAACUAAGGGAAAGUGCAAGGGAUAUGCGGCAAGGACUUAAAUUAAAAGGGAAUAUGUUUUAAAUGCAAGGAAUAGGAAAGAAGGGCUUUCCCUUGCACGGCAAGGGAAAGAAAAGGUCAAGGGAGGUACAGCUAGAUGUUUGGGAAAGGGAUAAUGUCUUAAAAUUGAAGGGAAAUAGGUUCCCUUGCAUGGCAAGGGAAAGGGAAAGUGGGACAAGUUCGGCA